CCCCCGCUGCCCCGAGGCCAGGUGAGCCCAGGGGCACCCAGACCGUGCGCCAGGCUCCCGCCCAAGACGAGAGCUGGGUCAGCAGUGAUGUCCCAGAAGCCGCCGCCCCGACUGUGGCAGGCGCUGGGGUGCGCUGUAUGCACCCUGCAUAGGAGAGCGCUCCUGCUCUUGUCUUGGGUGGCCCCAGCCCAGGUGCUCGGGUGGCCUAGGACAGGGUGCGGGGGGUCCGACCCUCUCGGCCUGCGUAUUGCACUGGGGGCGUCAGCGCCUUCUCCCUGGAAAGGAACUGUUCUGUCUCUGUCGGACUCAACCCUGUGCCGGGCCAGCUCAGCCAAGGGUUCGGUGAGCCUGACUGACAACAAUUCCGUGUCAAGACUCAAGACAAAGACAAAGCAGGAAACCCCAGCCAGCUCUGCAAGGUGUGCCGCCCCGUCCCCCACCGCCUUGGCCUUCCCAUGUGGGGAGAGACUGUGCAACGACUUCACGGCGGUGGGACCCUCACAUUCGAUGUAGCCAGAACAGAGAUCGCUUCCCCAAACCCCCUCAGAGACUGUACAGAGACCCCUGCCCUGUGCCCCAGGCCUGCUGGUUUGUGCUGCCUCCUGGAGCAGGCCGCCGCCCUUCCCCAGGCAAGCACGUAAAGCAUUUCCCCUCAUCUGGGGUGGAUUGCACCCCAGUGCCCCAUCCAUUUUACACUGUCCUGUAUACUAUAUAACCCCCUGGCCCCUGUCACAGUAAGGACUGUUAACCUUGCCCCGGCCAGUGUGGCUCAGCUGGUUUCAUAAUGCUUCUAGAGAGCCGAAGCAGCGACCAGCUGGCUCUCUCCUGUUGCUCCUUCCACCCUAAAAGCAGUUCUAGUCCGGCUGGUGUGGCUCCAUUGGUUGAGCGACGUCCAGUGCACCAAGAGCCCCUGGUUCAGUUUCCAGGCAGG
Myotis davidii is the source of this 931-nucleotide long non-coding RNA. RefSeq lists it as uncharacterized. The transcript has 3 exons. The record is from RefSeq and is a predicted model, not a curated record. Lineage: Eukaryota; Metazoa; Chordata; Mammalia; Chiroptera; Vespertilionidae.